RNAcentral lists this ribosomal RNA (518 nucleotides) under Klebsiella pneumoniae. Its description in RNAcentral is "partial 23S ribosomal RNA". It matches the Rfam family "Bacterial large subunit ribosomal RNA", at positions 364 to 889 of the family's 2925-position model. The record is from RNAcentral. Lineage: Bacteria; Pseudomonadati; Pseudomonadota; Gammaproteobacteria; Enterobacterales; Enterobacteriaceae.
GUGAUAGUCCCGUACACCAAAAUGCACAGGCUGUGAACUCGAAGAGUAGGGCGGGACACGUGGUAUCCUGUCUGAAUAUGGGGGGACCAUCCUCCAAGGCUAAAUACUCCUGACUGACCGAUAGUGAACCAGUACCGUGAGGGAAAGGCGAAAAGAACCCCGGCGAGGGGAGUGAAAAAGAACCUGAAACCGUGUACGUACAAGCAGUGGGAGCACCUUCGGGUGUGACUGCGUACCUUUUGUAUAAUGGGUCAGCGACUUAUAUUCUGUAGCAAGGUUAACCGUAUAGGGGAGCCGCAGGGAAACCGAGUCUUAACUGGGCGUUAAGUUGCAGGGUAUAGACCCGAAACCCGGUGAUCUAGCCAUGGGCAGGUUGAAGGUUGGGUAACACUAACUGGAGGACCGAACCGACUAAUGUUGAAAAAUUAGCGGAUGACUUGUGGCUGGGGGUGAAAGGCCAAUCAAACCGGGAGAUAGCUGGUUCUCCCCGAAAGCUAUUUAGGUAGCGCCUCGUGAAU